GUGAACAACGAAGGGCGCGCGGUGGAUGCCUAGGCUCUCGGAGGCGAUGAAGGACGCGAUAAGCCGCGAUAGGCCACGGCGAGGUGCAAGUAACCCUUGACCCGUGGAUUUCCGAAUGGGGCAACCCGGCCGUCUAGAUGACGGUCAUGCAUUAAUGCAGGCGAACGCGGGGAACUGAAACAUCUCAUUACCCGCAGGAGAAGAAAACAAAAUGUGAUUCCCCCAGUAGUGGCGAGCGAACGGGGAAGAGCCCAAACCGUUGCCGUUUCGGCGACAGCGGGGUCAUGGGACCGCGAUACUCGACGGAAGACGAAGUGCAAUUACCUGGAAAGGUAAGCCGUGGAGGGUGACAGCCCCGUGCACGACACCUCUUUCAAAGAUAGCGGUAUCCCGAGUAGGGCGGGACACGAGAAAUCCUGCCUGAAUUCGCCAGGACCUCCUGGCAAGGCUAAAUACUCCCGAGAGACCGAUAGUGAACCAGUACCGCGAGGGAAAGGUGAAAAGAACCCCGAGCAGGGGAGUGAAAUAGACCCUGAACCCGCGCGCCUACAAGCGGUCGGAGCCGGGUAAUCCGGUGACGGCGUGCCUUUUGCAUAAUGAGCCUACGAGUUAGUCGUCACCAGCGAGGUUAAGGGCUUCAGGCCCGUUAGCCGAAGUGAAAGCGAGCCUUAACAGGGCGUCGAGUUGGUGGCGCUAGACGCGAAACCUUGUGAUCUACCCACGAGCAGGUUGAAGUCGCGGUAACACGUGAUGGAGGACCGAACCGGUAAACGUUGAAAAGUUUUCGGAUGACUCGCGGGUAGGGGUGAAAGGCCAAUCAAACUGGGAAAUAGCUCGUACUCUCCGAAAUGCAUUUCGGUGCAGCCUGUGAUGUUCUGUUCCAGAGGUAGAGCUACUGGUUGGACGCGAGGGCUUCACCGCCUAUCAAAUCCGGAUAAACUCCGAAUGCUGGAACACGAAAUCAUGGAGUGAGCCCGCGGGUGCUAAGGUCCGCGGACGAGAGGGAAAGAACCCGGACCACCGGCUAAGGUCCCGGAUGGACAGUUAAGUUGAUCAAACGAGGUGGGAUCGCUGAGACAGCUAGGAUGUUGGCUUGGAAGCAGCCAUUCAUUUAAAGAGUGCGUAACAGCUCACUAGUCGAGCGAUCCCGCGUGGAUAAUACACGGGCAUCAAACUGUCAACCGAAGCCGUGGGGUUAGUGAUGAGCUAACCGGUAGGAGAGCAUUCCUGCCAGCUUUGAAGGUCACCCGCGAGAGUGACUGGAGCGGCAUGAAAAGCAAAUGUAGGCAUAAGUAACGAUAAUGGGGGCGAGAACCCCCCACGCCGCAAGACCAAGGAUUCCCCGGCAAUGUCAAUCAGCCGGGGGUCAGCCGGCCUCUAAGGCUCACCCGAAAGGGGAUGCCGACGAGAAACGGGUUAACAUUCCCGUGCUUCUCGUCACCGUGACGCGGUGACGGGGUGAUGAAUGGACCGCGCGCUGACGGAAUAGCGCGUUGAAGGCCGUACCCUAUGACGGUGGUAGUCAAGCACGCCACCGGAGGCGAGAGCCGAUAGUACCACGAGACCCCGGUCGAGUGGAUAGCGUCCAGGCAAUUUACCCCCGAGAAAACCCGCUAAACUUCAAGUGACGAGGAACCGUACUGUAAACGGACACACGUGGUCGGGUAGAACAUACCAAGGCGCUCGAGUGAUUCAUGGUCAAGGAACUAGGCAAAAUAGUCCUGUAACUUAGGGAUAAAGGACGCUCUAGUGAUAGAGCCGCAGAGUAAUGGCCCAGGCGACUGUUUACCAAAAACACAUGGCUAUGCCAAAUCGAAAGAUGACGUAUAUGGCCUGACACCUGCCCGGUGCCGGAAGGUUAAGAGGAGAGCUCAUCGGAAACGAGAAGGUUUGAAUUGAAGCCCCGGUAAACGGCGGCCGUAACUAUAACGGUCCUAAGGUAGCGAAAUUCCUUGUCGGGU
RNAcentral lists this ribosomal RNA (1961 nucleotides) under metagenome. RNAcentral's name for it is "bacterial LSU rRNA". It matches the Rfam family "Bacterial large subunit ribosomal RNA", at positions 1 to 1977 of the family's 2925-position model. The record is from RNAcentral.